CAGUCGCCGCGGGAAUACGGAGGGGGCUAGCGUUGUUCGGAAUUACUGGGCGUAAAGCGCACGUAGGCGGCUUUGUAAGUUAGAGGUGAAAGCCCGGAGCUCAACUCCGGAAUUGCCUUUAAGACUGCAGAGCUAGCAGGUGAGAGAGGUGAGUGGAAUUCCGAGUGUAGAGGUGAAAUUCGUAGAUAUUCGGAAGAACACCAGUGGCGAAGGCGGCUCACUGGCUCGAUACUGACGCUGAGGUGCGAAAGCGUGGGGAGCAAACAGGAUUAGAUACCCGGGUAGUCCCUGUCUCUUAUAC
Molecule: ribosomal RNA, 301 nt
Filed under: uncultured bacterium
Lineage: Bacteria
Description: partial 16S ribosomal RNA
Rfam family: Bacterial small subunit ribosomal RNA
Source: RNAcentral